Molecule: long non-coding RNA, 5671 nt
Filed under: Phaseolus vulgaris (common bean)
Lineage: Eukaryota; Viridiplantae; Streptophyta; Magnoliopsida; Fabales; Fabaceae
Description: long non-coding RNA (PVUL_LNC001825)
Source: RNAcentral
CUGGGUAAACAAGCUGCUUCUUCUCCUUCAUUUUGCUGCGUUCUAUGAUCCUAACAAGUUCAUCCAGACACCGUGUAGAAGAUGCAUAGUUCUCAGAAAACACAACGAUGAAAAUCUUAGAUUCUUCAAUGGCCUUCGACAGAGCAGGUGGAAGACUUUCCCCUAUCCUCAUAUUCCUAUCAUCAUUGAAACUUUUUAUUCCCCUCCUACCCAACUCUCUACGCAGAUGCCCUAUAAAAGUGUACCUUGUAUCUUCCCCUCUAAAACUGAUGAACAAGGAAAUUUGUUUGGCCUUAUCAUCCAAUUUAUCGUAGCUUAUUUUAAGCACAUCUUGAAUCUUUUUAUUUGGAGUCCUCUCAUAUUCUUCCAUUGCCAUUUCCCAAUCUUCUAAACUUUCAUGAAAAGUAGCUAAAUCAGAGCCUAUCCUUUUUAAAGCCAGUGGAAGACCUUUGGCGUAAUCUACAGCACGCAGAGACACAUCUUCAAAACCUGUUUUAGGAUAACUUUGUCUGAAGGCAUUCCAACAAAAUAGCUCUAAAGAAUGUAGGUCAUCAAGUUCCUUCAUUUCAUACAUAUUUUUAACUUGGUGAGAAAUUAGCACAUCUUUUUCCCUUGUCGUUAUAAUGAUUCUACUACCUGGACCAAACCAUUUACCCCCUCCUGCCAAAUUUUCUAACUGGUCUUUAUCACCAACGUCAUCAAGAACCAAAAGAACUUUCUUUUUCUGAAGCUUUUCUUCUAUUUCAGUCAUUCCUUUACUUGUACUUCCCAAUUCAGUUUCCAACUCCUCAAACAUCUCAGAUAAAAGUGUCUUUUGUAGAUCUUUAAUGCCAUUGAUUCUGCUUGAUUUUUCUCUAACAUCGGAAAGAAAACUUGCAGCAUCAAAGUGUUGCAAAAUUGUGUUAUACAAAGCUAUGGCAAGUUCCGUUUUUCCAAUUCCACCAAGUCCAUAUAUGCCCAACAUAUUUACAGUUUUAUCAUAAGGCUUCAUUUCCAAAAGGGACAUAACUUCUUCUAUGCAGGCGUCAAGUCCAACAGGGUUUUGACCACUAUAUAAAGAUUUAGGAGUUAUAUAUUCAUGGACCUUCGCAACAAUUUCUUUAAUACAAUAGCUUUCAUCAUCCCUAUAAGAGUAGAAUGUAAUAAUUAAUUAUUUGUUUGAUAUCAUGAUUUCUAUUAUUAUUGUACCAAGUGAUAAGCAUUGUGAUUUUUGUACUAGAUAGAAAGCAAUGAUACUCAUAGCAAGUAGCACAAAAGAAUAAUGAUUACACAUUAUACAAAAUUUAAUGGAGAUGAAAAAGUUAGAGAAAUUUUAUUCUAAACAAAAAAAUCAAUAAUUUAUAAAAAAAAUACCUAAAUAUAAUAUCAAAUUCAAAUAAAAAAUGAUUUUUUCCACUUUUAAUUUUUUAUUAGUUUUUUUAUCUUUUAGAUUAUUUUUUAUAAUGUUCAGAAUUAUACUUUAUGACUAACAAAAUCAAUUAACACCCUGAAAAAAAAUCAAUUAUUACUUGAAUCAUUGAAUAUUUUUGUUUGUGAAAAGUAAAGUUACAUAAGGUCAACUUACUUUUGGUGUUUAACCUUUGAUAAAAGGCUAUAAUUAUUUUUUAACUAAAAUAAUUUAUUUUUGGAUGAGAGAAAAAUUAAGAGAGGAAAAAUAUUUUUUUCUUUUAAAUUUUCCUUACCAAUUAUUUUUUUUAAGAGAAGUAAAGUCUUUCAUCUUAAUAAUAUAUGUCGAUGAUAAUAUGUUAGUAAUAAUUCCCAACAAAGUUCAAAUAUGGGAAUCGAAGACAUUUGAUAAUAAUUACUUGGGAUCAACAAACAAGAUUUUAGAAAUAAAAUUCACAAAAAAAGAGAAAUGUUUUACUUUCUUGGAAUUAAAUACUUUCUUAGAAGCAAGUGCCUACUUCUUUCUAUCUUGGUUUGGUCGUGUGCAGUGUUAAGGUUUAACAGCUGUGCAAUUGUUACCGUAUUGGUAAUUUAUGCCGUCCAGUUUUUUGUAGUAAGUAUGUGCACACGGACCUCUUCUCUCUGCUGUCAAAAGGAACGUUUGCAGACUAUUGCUGCAUAAUUCUGCAGCACAUUCUGCAGCAUUAUUGGCCACUCAUACAUGUUUGUUCCUGAAUGCAUUUUCUGAUUUGGUUGUCUUGAUCUAUAUGUGGUUAAUAGCUACAUGUGGUUGUUGGUUCUUGUAUAAGAGUUUGGACACUCCAAAAGUGUCCCUCUUAAUUUAAUUUUAUUUUUUUUCUGAUAAACAAAAAUCAACAACAUCAAAAUUUAUGAUUAGAGGUAAAGCAAUACUCACCUGGGAGCAUGGUGCUUAAAAAAUCUAACGAGGUAUUGAAGGAACCCAAGAGAACAACAUGGUACUCAUUGAGAAAAUAUUGUUAGAGUUUACGGUGUUCAAUAAACGCAAUUGAUGGUGAAAGUGAAAAACAACCAAGGAACAAAAAAAACAAUCUGUGUGAAAAAAACCCACUACAACAACGUUAAUUGAAGUUAGCAACUUUGCAUCUGACUCUGCUAUUAAUAAUAGCAAUAGACUUUUUUGUUACGAAAUGGAAGUGUAAAGGAUAUUAGGUUAUGCGAAUUGGGUUAGGAAAUCAGAAUUAAAUUUACAGUGUAGGGUGAAAAUAUUUUAAAGAUGAUUGAGAAAAUGAAGGAAAAAGAUUGCGAGAUGAAAAUAUUAAAGGGGGAGAAGAUAGAAUCCAAUUAAUGAAGAUAAUAUGUUUAAACAUUGUAGGGGAAUUGAUUUAAUAAGGAGGAGGUUGGGGCAGUAUGCUUACAAGAAAUCAAAUUAGAAAUAGUGAAUAAAGAAAGAUGCUACAAUAUGGGAACAUUCAGUUGUAAAUGGGAUACAAGGAAUUUUAACUAUGUGGUGUAAGGAUACUUUCACAUGUGAAACAUUGGUUAGAAACACAAGUUUUUUAGGGGUUAAAGGAAAGUACAAAAAGAAUAAUAUGUUAAUAGUAAUAGUGAAUGUGUACUCCUUUUCUAACUAUAGUGAAAAGUAAGUAAUAUGGAAUGAAAUAUUAAGAUUAAGACAGGAACAAUAAUGCAAUACCUGCUAUGUAUUGGGAAAUUUUAACACAAUAAGGAAUUUAUAUUAAAGAAGAGGUAUAAAUUAAGGAAAUAAUAAAAAUUAAUGAAUUUAUAGAAAAUACUGAAAUCAUGGAUAUCCUUCUAGUAGGUAGAAAAUAUACUUCUCAAAAAGUAGGUUCCACAAUUUUAUCCUUGCAAGAAUGGAUGGAACAAUGGUGAGGAAGAAAACAAUAUAAAAAUCAUAAUAGGAAUAAUAAAAAUCAUAAUUAAACUAAAUAACUUUGGCUUAGUAGCUAUUAUCAACUAUCUCUUAAUUAGAGAAACGUGACUAAACUCUAUUUUGUAACAAAAUAAAUUUUUUAAAUUUUUUAUCUUUAACAAGUUUGAUGUCCAAUUACUGAUAGAUAUUGAUUUGUGUCUAAUUUUUUUUUCGAUUUUCAGAUUCGUCGAUAAUUAUCGACGAACACAUAUCUGUAAGUAAAUGUGUCGAUAAUGUAUACAAUUCGUCAAUAAUAAAAAAAAAUAUUGAUACACAUAAAUCUGUCGAUAAAUUUCCAUUGGUAAUUCAAUAAUUUUUGUUAGUGGAUGGUUUUAAGAGACAAAUUUAAAAAGACUUAGUAGGACUUACAAAUUUGUAACAAAUAGGUAUUUGGUAAUGUAAACCAAAUUAAUCAAACCACUAUAACUCAUAGGUGAUUUCGACAAAAUGGAUUACUUAAGUGAUCUAAAUGAGAAAGGAAGGAUGGAAAGAAAGAGGCUAUUUAGUGAACUUAAACUCAUACGCUGGCAACAUAAGUCCUUCGAGAAAUAAAAGUCUAGGUCAAAAUGGAUUCAAUUUGGAGACUCAAACUCUUGGUAUUUCCAUGUUGUUACGGAUUGGAAAAUAAGUAGGAAUAAGAUUAAAGGUGUUGAAAAUCUAGGGUAAUGGAGUACAUACCGUGUCAUUGUUAAAAGCAAGGUAAAAGAGUUAUUCUAAGAGAGGCUAACAAAGAUUACUAAAUUCAAUGUUAGGCUAAGGAACAUUAUCUUCUAUUUCUACUGGUGAUAAUAUAAUCCUAACAAGUGGGUUCACGAAACUAGAAAUAAAAUAUAAAAAAAAAGCACUAGGCAGGUUAUGUGGAAUAUGUGAACAAUUGAAAUAGGAUGUGGAGGUGUAUGUGGGUAGAGAUCAUUUGAAACAUAUAAAAUUAUAAGAAUAAAAUUGUCUUUAAGAAUGAGACCGGGUAUGCAGAAGAGAUAUUUUUUUUUUUGCCACAAACAAAAGUAUGAGCUUGGACAAGGAAUAGAUCUCUAAAAUCGACUUUCACAUAUUCUUAUAUGUCAAAUAACUUUCAUAAAAACCAUAUCUAAGUAAUAUGGUAUGCUCACCCAAAUGGGCAUGUGCAAUUGUUAUCAAUUUUAAAUUAUUUUCAAGUUUGAGUCCUAUAAAUGAAGCAAUAAGGGUUGAGAUUUCUUGAGUAUUAUAUACAUCACACAAUGUAAAACCUUAUGUACGUCAUAUGUAAAAAAAAAAUACUAGACAUUAAAUAAGGAGUGACAACGAUUAGUAUAGGUUUAUGGUAAAUCCUGGCAGAGAACAAUGAAUUGUUAUUAAGAAUAUUCUUAAAUACUUUAGAGAAACAUUAGGCAUGGUAUUAUGUUUUGAAAGAUUAUAAUUAUAUUUUAGAGACUUAUAUUAUAUGAUUUUUAUUAAAUGAAUUUUGUUACUGAUGAUUAUGUGUGUAUACUAAUAGGAAAAGCAGUAUGUUGGUAAUCCAAAUUGGAUGAUAUGUUAUAAUUUUGUCUAGUACAAAAAAAAUAUGAACAUAAAAAUUAUCUAAACAUACACGAAAGCUAUCUAAAUUCAAAAAUUAACUGAUAAACUAAGAGGUACAUAAGCAACAAAAAGAUUAUUCUAAUAGUCAAAAUGGAUUACCCAUAACAAUAAAUCUUGUCUUUUAUUUCAAAACAAAAUGCAUAGGUACACACCAUUCCAUAGAUAAUAUACUAUUAUUUUCUCAUUAGAUUUAUAAACUGACGAUAUUAUAAUCUUAUUUCUUUCACUAAAGUUACAUUAUUAAUUUUAUUUUAGUUGUGAAUAAUUAUCCCAUAAAAUACAUUAUUUUUUUCUAAAUAUGGGAUGAAAAAGAAAUAAGAAUGAAUGGUUUGUUAUACAUACCCGGUGCUAAUAUGCCUCCCUUGGAAGUCAACUGCUGCUUGAGAGAAGGCUGACCUCCAAUCCUGCAUUCUCUGUGAUUCUUUUCCAAUCUCCUUUUCAUGUGCCUUCAUGUGUUUUCCGAAGCUAUUUCUCUCGUGCUCUAUAUCUGAGGGAUCUACAUGGUAAAACACUGGGUAAACAAGAUGCAUCUUCUUCUUCAUCUUGCUGCGUUCUAUGAUCCUAACAAGUUCAUCCAGACACCAUGUGGAAGAUGCAUACUUCUCAGAAAACACAACUAUGAAAAUCUUAGAUUCUUCAAUGGCCUUCGACAGAGCAGGUGAAAGACUUUCCCCUAUUCUCAUAUUCCUAUCAUCAUUGAAACUUUUUAUUCCCAUCCUACCCAACUCUCUACGCAGAUGCCCUAUAAAAGUGUUCCUUGUAUCUUCCCCUCUAAAACUGAUGAACACAUCAUAGGUGAAACCAAGACGCUCUUCU